RNA transcript from Mastomys coucha (southern multimammate mouse), 710 nucleotides. It is a transcript of the gene named ubiquitin-conjugating enzyme E2 D3 pseudogene, with no coding region annotated. The transcript has a single exon. NCBI's taxonomy places the organism in Eukaryota, Metazoa, Chordata, Mammalia, Rodentia, Muridae. The record is from RefSeq and is a predicted model, not a curated record.
AGCUAAGAAAUUAGUAGUGGGGAGCUCCGGCGAGCCUGCCACGAGGUUCUCGUGAGAUCCACCACCUCCAUCCCAAGCGCCUGUGUCUGGCAGAGCAGGUGUGAGAAGAGGAGGUAGUCCUUCCCAUCGCCUGGAUAAUCAAGAGUUUGGGCCUGACCUUUGAGUACACAUCAGGAUAGUGAGGAGCCCGGUGAAAAGCACAGACUUUGGCUCUGAAACGGAUUAAUAAGGAACUUAGUGAUUUGGCCCGUGACCUUCCAGAACAAUGUUCUGCAGGUCCAGUUGGAGAUGACAUGUUUCAUUGGCAAGCCACAAUUAUGGGACCUAAUGACAGCCUAUAUCAAGGUGGUGUAUUCUUUUUGACAAUCCAUUUUCCUACAGACUACCCCUUCAAACCACCUAAGGUUGCAUUUACAACAAGAAUUUAUCAUCCAAAUAUUAACAGUAAUGGCAGCAUUUGUCUUGAUAUUCUAAGAUCACAGUGGUCUCCUGCUUUAACUAUUUCUAAAGUUCUUUUAUCCAUUUGUUCACUGCUAUGUGAUUCAAACCCAGAUGACCCCCUAGUGCCAGAGAUUGCACAGAUCUAUAAAACAGACAGAGAUAAGUACAACAGAAUAUCUCAGGAAUGGACUCAGAAGUAUGCCAUGUGAUGCUACCUUAAAGUCAGAAUAAUCUGCAUUAUAGCCGGAAUAAACUUUAAAUUACUGUUC